GACGAACGCUGGCGGCGUGCUUAACACAUGCGAGUCGAACGGAAAGGCCCUGCUUUUGUGGGGUGCUCGAGUGGCGAACGGGUGAGUAACACGUGAGUAACCUGCCCUUGACUUUGGGAUAACUUCAGGAAACUGGGGCUAAUACCGGAUAGGAGCUCCUGCUGCAUGGUGGGGGUUGGAAAGUUUCGGCGGUUGGGGAUGGACUCGCGGCUUAUCAGCUUGUUGGUGGGGUAGUGGCUUACCAAGGCUUUGACGGGUAGCCGGCCUGAGAGGGUGACCGGCCACAUUGGGACUGAGAUACGGCCCAGACUCCUACGGGAGGCAGCAGUGGGGAAUAUUGCACAAUGGGCGGAAGCCGGAUGCAGCAACGCCGCGUGCGGGAUGACGGCCUUCGGGUUGUAAACCGCUUUCGCCUGUGACGAAGCGUGAGUGACGGUAAUGGGUAAAGAAGCACCGGCUAACUACGUG
This 468-nucleotide ribosomal RNA is filed under the name uncultured bacterium. RNAcentral's name for it is "partial 16S ribosomal RNA". It matches the Rfam family "Bacterial small subunit ribosomal RNA", at positions 28 to 507 of the family's 1533-position model. The record is from RNAcentral.